This 253-nucleotide ribosomal RNA is filed under the name uncultured bacterium. RNAcentral's name for it is "partial 16S ribosomal RNA". It matches the Rfam family "Bacterial small subunit ribosomal RNA", at positions 524 to 776 of the family's 1533-position model. The record is from RNAcentral.
UACAGAGGGUGCGAGCGUUAAUCGGAAUUACUGGGCGUAAAGCGCGCGUAGGCGGCUUUUCAAGUCGAUUGUGAAAUCCCCGGGCUUAACCUGGGAACUGCAGUCGAGACUGUCUAGCUAGAGUAUGGGAGAGGGAAGUGGAAUUCCAGGUGUAGCGGUGAAAUGCGUAGAUAUCUGAAGGAACAUCAGUGGCGAAAGCGACUUCCUGGACCAAUACUGACGCUCAUGUGCGAAAGCGUGGGGAGCAAACAGG